GCACGAAGGUUGGCUAAUCCUGGUCGGACAUCAGGAGGUUAGUGCAAUGGCAUAAGCCAGCUUGACUGCGAGCGUGACGGCGCGAGCAGGUGCGAAAGCAGGUCAUAGUGAUCCGGUGGUUCUGAAUGGAAGGGCCAUCGCUCAACGGAUAAAAGGUACUCCGGGGAUAACAGGCUGAUACCGCCCAAGAGUUCAUAUCGACGGCGGUGUUUGGCACCUCGAUGUCGGCUCAUCACAUCCUGGGGCUGAAGUAGGUCCCAAGGGUAUGGCUGUUCGCCAUUUAAAGUGGUACGCGAGCUGGGUUUAGAACGUCGUGAGACAGUUCGGUCCCUAUCUGCCGUGGGCGCUGGAGAACUGAGGGGGGCUGCUCCUAGUACGAGAGGACCGGAGUGGACGCAUCACUGGUGUUCGGGUUGUCAUGCCAAUGGCACUGCCCGGUAGCUAAAUGCGGAAGAGAUAAGUGCUGAAAGCAUCUAAGCACGAAACUUGCCCCGAGAUGAGUUCUCCCUGAGACUUUAGGUCUCCUGAAGGAACGUUGAAGACGACGACGUUGAUAGGCCGGGUGUGUAAGCGCAGCGAUGCGUUGAGCUAACCGGUACUAAUGAACCGUGAGGCUUAACCUUACA
RNAcentral lists this ribosomal RNA (626 nucleotides) under Salmonella enterica. RNAcentral's name for it is "partial 23S ribosomal RNA". It matches the Rfam family "Bacterial large subunit ribosomal RNA", at positions 2308 to 2925 of the family's 2925-position model. The record is from RNAcentral. Lineage: Bacteria; Pseudomonadati; Pseudomonadota; Gammaproteobacteria; Enterobacterales; Enterobacteriaceae.